GGUGGUCCAUGCAGGGGGAAAAACCUCAUACGCAUAAACAAAUGAAUUACUUAUUGAACCAACAGAGAUCCUUGCAGUGGCUGGCAGCAAGAACUCCACAGCCAAUGCCAUCAAAGUGAUAUCAUUCACAUCCCGGAAGGAACAGAAAUUUCAAGUAGCAGCAUUACAGUAUCUAUGAGGAACCUCUUCCCAUGUUGAGGAGCAACACAUGCAACAGUACACAGUGAAAUUAAUAAAAAUCGGAGGAGCCGGGACAAACUGGUUGAGACUUUGUGAGCCAGACAAUAGCUACAGCAAGUUAUUUCUGAAGCUUGUCCACAACGUGGGAAGUGGAGCCUGUUAGAGAGCUUGAUUUCUUGAUCUGCCCCAGCUACAGUGGAUGUGCACAGGAGUAAAAUGUACAGAAGAUGGGAUAGGAGAGAAACAGCCAGACACUCAGCCUUCCAAGCCCUUGGGAGGAUCAGCCACGGUCCUGGGGUUCACAUCAGUUGCUGGUGCUAAGAGUCGAUGCCAUCAGGAGCUGUAACUCCAACAGAGCAAACAAUGAAGGAGGAAGUAUGCUGUAUCAGCCCCAUCCUAGGCUUCAUAUUCACUAUUGAGCAUGAAGGACUGUCCUUCAGGAUCCAGUACUAGAGCCAAGAGUGCUCCAGUUUCAUCAGCCCAGCUUUAGGACCCAGCCCCUGUGCCUCCUCUGCCACUGCCAGAGUUGCACCAUUGCUGCCCUGAAUUUGCUCCAGUCUCUCGUGAUCUUCCAAGUUACAUGGCACUGGCAGAGGACAUAAAGAUAUGGCCCUUAUGCAGCAUGCCUAAAUGCUGGUUAUUGAUGUUGCUGUGC
Hemicordylus capensis (graceful crag lizard) is the source of this 835-nucleotide long non-coding RNA. RefSeq lists it as uncharacterized. The record is from RefSeq and is a predicted model, not a curated record. The transcript has 4 exons. Lineage: Eukaryota; Metazoa; Chordata; Lepidosauria; Squamata; Cordylidae.